Molecule: ribosomal RNA, 1051 nt
Filed under: Enterococcus sp. SI-Delhi-3B
Lineage: Bacteria; Bacillati; Bacillota; Bacilli; Lactobacillales; Enterococcaceae
Description: bacterial SSU rRNA
Rfam family: Bacterial small subunit ribosomal RNA
Source: RNAcentral
GGACUGAGACACGGCCCAGACUCCUACGGGAGGCAGCAGUAGGGAAUCUUCGGCAAUGGACGAAAGUCUGACCGAGCAACGCCGCGUGAGUGAAGAAGGUUUUCGGAUCGUAAAACUCUGUUGGUAGAGAAGAACAAGGAUGAGAGUAAAAUGUUCAUCCCUUGACGGUAUCUAACCAAAAAGCCCCGGCUAACUACGUGCCAGCAGCCGCGGUAAUACGUAGGUGGCAAGCGUUGUCCGGAUUUAUUGGGCGUAAAGCGAGCGCAGGCGGUUUCUUAAGUCUGAUGUGAAAGCCCCCGGCUCAACCGGGGAGGGUCAUUGGAAACUGGGAGACUAGAGUGCAGAAGAGGAGAGUGGAAUUCCAUGUGUAGCGGUGAAAUGCGUAGAUAUAUGGAGGAACACCAGUGGCGAAGGCGGCUCUCUGGUCUGUAACUGACGCUGAGGCUCGAAAGCGUGGGGAGCGAACAGGAUUAGAUACCCUGGUAGUCCACGCCGUAAACGAUGAGUGCUAAGUGUUGGAGGGUUUCCGCCCUUCAGUGCUGCAGCAAACGCAUUAAGCACUCCGCCUGGGGAGUACGACCGCAAGGUUGAAACUCAAAGGAAUUGACGGGGGCCCGCACAAGCGGUGGAGCAUGUGGUUUAAUUCGAAGCAACGCGAAGAACCUUACCAGGUCUUGACAUCCUUUGACCACUCUAGAGAUAGAGCUUCCCCUUCGGGGGCAAAGUGACAGGUGGUGCAUGGUUGUCGUCAGCUCGUGUCGUGAGAUGUUGGGUUAAGUCCCGCAACGAGCGCAACCCUUAUUGUUAGUUGCCAUCAUUUAGUUGGGCACUCUAGCGAGACUGCCGGUGACAAACCGGAGGAAGGUGGGGAUGACGUCAAAUCAUCAUGCCCCUUAUGACCUGGGCUACACACGUGCUACAAUGGACGGUACAACGAGUUGCGAAGUCGCGAGGCUAAGCUAAUCUCUUAAAGCUUCUCUCAGUUCGGAUUGUAGGCUGCAACUCGCCUACAUGAAGCCGGAAUCGCUAGUAAUCGCGGAUCAGCACGCCG